GACGACCAGUGGCGAAAGCGUUUAACUGGAACGAAUCUGACGGUAAGGAACGAAGGCUAGGGUAGCAAACCGGAUUAGAUACCCGGGUAGUCCUAGCUGUAAACAUUGCCCAUUUGAUGUUGCUUUUCCGUUGAGGGAAGGCAGUGUCGGAGCGAAGGUGUUAAAUGGGCCGCUUGGGAAGUAUGGUCGCAAGACUGAAACUUAAAGGAAUUGGCGGGGGAGCACCGCAACGGGAGGAAUGUGCGGUUUAAUUGGAUUCAACGCCGGAAAACUCACCGGGAACGACCUGUGCAUGAGAGUCAACCUGACGAGCUUACUCGAUAGCAGGAGAGGUGGUGCAUGGCCGUCGUCAGCUCGUACCGUAGGGCGUUCACUUAAGUGUGAUAACGAGCGAGACCCACAUCUUUAAUUGCAAAUGUAUAUGAGAAUAUGCAUGCACUUUAGAGAAACCGCCAGCGCUAAGCUGGAGGAAGGAGUGGUCGACGGCAGGUCAGUACGCCCCGAAUUUCCCGGGCUACACGCGCAUUACAAAGAACGGGACAAUACGUUGCAACCUCGAAAGAGGAAGCUAAUCGCGAAACCCGUCCAUAGUUAGGAUUGAGGGCUGUAACUCGCCCUCAUGAAUCUGGAUUCCGUAGUAAUCGCGGGUCAACAACCCGCGGUGA
RNAcentral lists this ribosomal RNA (665 nucleotides) under uncultured bacterium. RNAcentral describes it as "bacterial SSU rRNA". It matches the Rfam family "Archaeal small subunit ribosomal RNA", at positions 655 to 1321 of the family's 1478-position model. The record is from RNAcentral.